Sinocyclocheilus anshuiensis is the source of this 204-nucleotide long non-coding RNA. RefSeq lists it as uncharacterized. Lineage: Eukaryota; Metazoa; Chordata; Actinopteri; Cypriniformes; Cyprinidae. The record is from RefSeq and is a predicted model, not a curated record. The transcript is spliced from 2 exons.
UGUGUGGCCCUCUGGUGUACCUGCUCAAGAAUAAACAGCGUCCUGAUGGAUCCUUUCAGGAGGACAAUCCUGUCUAUGACACCAGUAUGAUGGGAGGUCUGCGAGGCUCUGAAUCCAGAGUGUCUCUGACCGCAUUCGUGCUCAUUGCUUUGGCAGAGGCACAAAAUGCUGUUACCUGCCAAGAGCCAGGCCUCAAAAUACAGG